Molecule: ribosomal RNA, 399 nt
Filed under: uncultured bacterium
Lineage: Bacteria
Description: bacterial SSU rRNA
Rfam family: Bacterial small subunit ribosomal RNA
Source: RNAcentral
GAGCGCUCGUAGCAAUACGAGAGCGGCAGACGGGAGAGUAACACGUGGGAACGUGCCCUUCGGUUCGGAAUAACUCAGGGAAACUUGAGCUAAUACCGGAUACGCCCUUACGGGGAAAGAUUUAUUGCCGAAGGAGCGGCCCGCGUCUGAUUAGCUAGUUGGUGAGGUAACGGCUCACCAAGGCGACGAUCAGUAGCGGGUCUGAGAGGAUGACCAGCCUCACUGGGACUGAGACACGGCCCAGACUCCUACGGGAGGCAGCAGUGGGGAAUAUUGGACAAUGGGCGCAAGCCUGAUCCAGCCAUGCCGCGUGGAUGAUGAAGGCCUUAGGGUUGUAAAGUCCUUUCAGCGGGGAAGAUAAUGACGGUACCCGCAGAGGAAGCCCCGGCUAACUUCGUG